AGUCCACUUCUGCCAGGCAAACACAGACAGUUUCUAGUUGCAAGAUAUCCCCCAUGGCAGAGAAAAAAAAAAGUUUCUUCUGGGAUGCAGACAAUCCAGGAAUCAGUGAUAAUCCACUGACCUUUCUAGGAAGUAAGAGCAAAGAACAAACAGGUUAGAUUCUGAGAAGCUGUUUCUAAGUUUGAUGGUUUUUUUUUUCCUAAGCCUGAGGCACUGAGAAGGGUUCAAGCUUGUAUUCUCCAGAUGCAAGGGUGCAAAUAAAGCCCGAUUUCCACUGGCAGCUAUUAUAACCAGGAGAGGAUCCUGCCUUUGGCUAAGGCCAGCGGAAAGGAAGGCAAAUGGAGAGACACAAAGAGCCUGAAUCUUUGAGCCAUCACUCAGUUGCGAUCAAACUGCCUGGAACCCACCCCACCCCGAUCGCCUGCUCGGACAAAAAUAACUGAAGCUCCCAUUGUUCAAACCAGCUUGUGUCAUGGUUUCUGAUGUUUAUAACUAAGACCAAUUCAAACAAUACAAUAUUUUAAAUCUUUAUUAUUUUUUAAGGAAACAAUAGCUUAAGGGUAAAAACUCAUCUCUAAUUGUAAAAAAAAAUUAUCUCUAAUUGUAGGCUUUUGAAGUUAGGGUCGGUCAGUAUUUUUAGAUAGAAUCUUUCAAAACUCAGGAGAGAGACUCAGCUUAUUUCAUGUGUAUGAUGAGGAUGUCUCCUUUAUUCUUUUUCCUGCUAUCACACUUAUGCCAGGCUUUCUUUCAAAACUUAACUCACCCAGCUCCUUGUCUUUGAAGCCUUCUUUUAAUUCUUCUCCCACAUUCCCCAAAACCAAGUCAAUUCUCUCCCUCAGUGCCCUCAUGUGUAUAAAUUGCAUAUCAUAUGGCAUUUUUUUCAUGUCUGUAAGACUCCCAAUUUCCCAAAGGCGAGGUUACUGUCAUUUUCUUCUGUAUCUACAGUGACCAUCACAUGAAAAGUACUCCAUAAAGGUGUUAAGGAUGGAAUUGUGUCCCCAACCCCAAAAUUCAUGUGUUGAAGCCCUCACCCUCGAUGUGACCAUAUUUGGAGAUAGAUAGGGCCUUUAAAGAGGUAAUUAAGUUAAAUGAAGUCAAAAUAGUGGGGCCUAGUAUCAUAUGACCGAUGUCCUUAUAGGAAGAGGAGAGACACCAGGGAUGUGCACACACAGAGGGGAGUCCAUGGGAGGACGGGGCAAGAAGGUGGCUGUCCUCGAGCCAGAGAGAGGCCUCAGAAGAAACCCAACUUGCUGGCACCUUGAUCUUGAACUUUCGGCCUCCAGAACUGUGAGAAAAUAAAUUCCUGUUGUUUAAGCCACCCAGCCUGUGGUAUUUUCUUAUGGCAAUCCAGGCAGACUAAUCCAACAAGAGUGCUGAAUGAAUGAAAGUCCUUUAAGAAAGAGAGUUCACGUGUAUACAUUAAUCUGCUGCUAUUAAGCACUUAUUUCUCACUAUCCCAAGAGUAUGAUUUUAUGAAAACUCUGACAAAUUAGUUUAAUUUAAUGUUUGUUAAGAAAAGGAAGAAAACAUCAAAACAGUAUAUCUGUUUGCCAUAGAAAACAUAAAGAGAUUUUCUCCAUAAGUCCUUUUGUAUCCCUAAUUUAUGAUUUUUUUGUUUUUCGGUUUGUUUUAAAGAGAGUAUGAUGAACCCAGUGGAGACCUGGGAACUAUACCCAAAAAGGAAACAGGACCAAAGAAAGAGGUUGCUUUCAUCUCCCAUGAAAGCAAGGCUGUUUUUGUUGAUACAUAUGGAAAAAAUCAGGGCCAAUUAUACAUUGUGAUUUGGCACCGAGGUUGCAGCCUCACCACAGGCCUUUACUUUCUUUCCACAGAUUUACUGUUACAGCACACUGAAGUCCUGAGCCCUCCGCCACCCGCAAGGCCUUCCUCGGAGACAGGGACCUAUCCAGAGAUGUCUCUGUCACUGUCAGGAUGCGCUGCAAGUGGACAAAGGGUUUCCUUCGUGUUGACCCUAAGAAGACCUCGACUUGAUCAAGGAAGAACUGAGCAUGGCUUGCAGUAGAGACAGUCACACACAGCUUCCCAUGAAUAGGUGUGGGCCUGAUCAUCUUAGCACCUUCUCUAGCCUUCAAGAAGCUCUCAAAAUCAGGGCCAUCUUGGUAUUUCACUAGCUGCUUCUUUCUUUUUUUGAUAUUUUAAGAGACAGGGACUUGCUAUGUUGCCCAGGUUGGACUUGUAUUCCUGGGCUCAAGCCAUUAUCCUGCCCCAGGGCUCCCAAGUAGCUGGGACUACAGGCCUGUGCCACCUCACCCACCCUCGCUGUUUAUUUCAAUGAACUGCAGGUUGAUGAUGAUCAAUCUUCUUUCCUAAUCUCCUGGUUGAAAUUAGGGAUAUUCAGAUUUUUUUGAAGUGGAGACUAUCAGGGUGUUAGAAGACCUAGUUCUGAACCUGCUCUCUGCUAACUUACCAUACGACUUUAGGCAAGUUGCUGCCCCACUAAGAACUUCAGUCUUAUCUGUGAAAUCAAGGGACUGGACUAAGUGGUCUCCGAGAUCCCCUCCAGCUGAAACCAUCUCCUGUACUGUCCACUAUUAUAGCAAAUAACCACACAUGGCUGAUUAAAUCUAAAUUAAUGAAAUAAAAGUCAGAAUGUAGUUCCUCAAUCUCACUAAUCAUAUGUCAAGGGCUUUAAUAGCCAUGUGUGGCCAGUGGCUGCCAGGUUGAACAGUGUAGUUCUCCUGCUCUCAUUUUAUUGAUGAUCAUGGUUUCAUAACAAAACCUGCCAGUUGAAGACCACUUUCACGUGUAUGGUGCAUUUUAAUACACGCUUACAUUUAACUACCCAAAAUAGGCAAGAGAGAUAUUCUAAUAUCUGCCUUAUCAGAUGAGGACACUAACUCAAAGAGUAAAUUACUUGCUAUAGGGUCAUACCACUAAUGACUAAAUGUAGUUUCCAAGCCCAGGACUCUCUAACACAUGGUACAAAGUCAUGACGAGAAGACAUGUGCCCCCUGGCCAAAACUAUUCAACCCAUGGUAGCACCAGAACUGAGAUCCAGGGAUUAAGGGCUGAUCUGGAGACCCUGUGCCUUGGUGUAGACCUUAGCUCAGCACAUCCUAGCUGUGUGACCAUGGGCAAGUUAUUUAAUAUCUCUGGGCUCCUUUCUAGUCCUCUGUUAAAUGGGAAUGACCACAGGAUCCACUGCUUAUGAGAACUGCACAAGUAGAUGCAAAUAAAAUGCUUUGCAUGGGAGGUCAGGCACCUAACAAUGGCUCACUUAGCAUCGCCACUGCCUUCAUUUUACUCCAGGCCCUUGCACGUCCUCACUGCCCCAAAUAGACCGAUGGCCCCUGCAGCCUUACUCCCAACUUGUCUAAAGAAAGUUGCUACUCUUAGGCAUGGACAACAGCUUGCUUUUUGAAACCUACUGAGUAGUUUGGCCUCAUAGCCUCCUGGGGCUGUGAGCACUCUGUAUUAAUUACAAGUUGUACAGGAAGAGCGCUUUCUGAGGGAUCGGAUUAACCCACCUGGGCAGUGUGCCAUGAGCAAAUGGCUUUUCCCCCUAUAAUUUUUUGAAACUCUUCAGUGGCAGGAACCCACCAUAUACCUGCCCCCAAGGAAGACCUGACCCACAGUAGGUGCCACCAGUGCAUAUGGCAAGAGGGGUGAGGAGGUGUAGGGGCCACCCCAAGAGCCUCCAGCACAGCACUCUGCCCUGGAGCAGGGUACAACAGACUGCAAAGCUGGCUCUGCCCAGACUAAAUUUUAUCUUCUGCAAAAGGCAAAGCAGACACACAUAUCCCCUGGUGAUGGUUUUUCCUUCCCUGUCCCACCACAGUGUACUGUUUGAAAGAACAAUAUUUACACUGAUGUUGCAGCAGGAGUGGGGGCCAGGCUACAAAGCGGAAACUGGGCUCCACCAGAGCAGGAGGGAGGGUCUGGGCCCAGCACCGACUCCAGAGGUGUUUUCCUCUGCCCUCCUAUCCUCUCAGGGGCCUGCCCUGGGGACUGAGGAAGCCAGGAAGGAUCAUCUGGCCCCAUGUCACUUCUCCAGGGGCCAGGAAUGGAACUACCAUCAGAACCUAGGUCACUCUUAAUGCAGGAAAAUGAAUAGCUACUGGAUGCAGCUAUUGGGCAUCCAUGGAAUGCAAGAUGCAGCGUGAACCAUUAACAGUGGCUUCUAUCUGCUGGUUUCCACAUAACACAACCAAGGCCACAGGCAUGCCAAUGUAGAGGAGGCACUCAGUCACUCACAUGCUUAUUUAUUUGUUCAUUCAUUCAACAAUGACUUACUGAGCACUUGGUCUCAGGGAUGAUUUUGCGCUAAGUAAAACAUGGUUCCUUUAGCAAGAAAUUCAAUAACCAGUGGGGAACACAGAAGGACAAAAAUCAAAUUAUAGUAUGUUAAGUGCUAAAACUGAGACACAAAGAGUUAAGGGGUGCACAGAGAUCCAGGGUCCUCUUCCAGGAGGAGAUGUAUGGGAUCUGGGUCUCAGUAGGCAAAUGAGAAUUUGUGUUGGGCUGGGGGGUGGGGGGUAUCAGGGGAGCAAUCUUGUGCAGCCUUAUAGACCACUGUAGAGACUUUUACUCCGAGAGACGUGGAGAGCCCUUGGAGGGUGUGGGGCAGAGGUGUGAUAUGAUCCGAAUGUGCAUUUUCAUGGGAUCACUCUAGCUGUUCUGUUGAUAACAGAUUGGGAUUGGGAGGGGGAGAAUGGAAGCAAGGAGACCAGUUAGGGGAUUAUUGCAAAAUUCAAGUGAAAGUUGAUGGGGGCUUAUUGACUCAAGCCCCUAAAAAAAAUUGUCACUGCCUUUAUUUUAGCAGAGCCUGCUAUAUAGUAGAUGUACAAUCAGUGUUAAAUUAUACCAGCCAUUCGUGAUAUUUUUUAACCACCUGGCCAGAGCAAACCUUCUCCCUUCUUCGGCAGCUGUCAGAGUCUCUAUCUUCCCAUUUAUUGUGCUCAUUUUCCUCUAAGUCUUCAAAUAACCACCAGGCCUGUCGAGUUUCCCUUCAUAGUACCCUCUCUGGAUCUAAGCGCUUUGCAGAGUGUCUGCCCCAUCUCUGGGGUGGUUGGAAAUCAAUUAAGGGGAUCCUGCUUUGGAGAAUCAUACCAGUUCAAGCCAGGUUCGAUCAUGAGGGUACCCUAAAAAUUCCCACAGACCCAGUCAUUGCUCUUACGGUUCAGUACCAGAGAUAUGGAAAGACAGAUAUCAAAAUGCCACGUGAGUACAAUAGACACCAUUCUUCCCGGAGUUCCUAGGAGAUACCUUGGCUGUCUUACAGAAGACCCUCUUUUGUUUCAUCUCUCUCCCUUCUAGGGUGAGCAGUGUCCUUAAAGGAAGCAUUUAGAGGAAAAUGUCUCCACAAGCCUGAUCCCUUUCUCUGAAAGCAUAAUAAUGCUCAAGAAUGACAACAAUGUAAAUCGCCAGGAUCAUUAGCGGAACCUCGAUGAAUUAAAAUGGCUCACAUCAGGGUAAGAUUAGGUCAGCUGCAUUGAAGGGAGCCAGAGUGCUGGGGUUUGCUGACUUCCAAGCAUUUCAAAACCAAAUAUUGUCAGAGCCCCACCGUCUCAGUCUCAGCAGCAUGGAUAGUCAACCCCUGAUAAGAUCAUCCUUGUCUGGAAAGGACCAAAUUACCGUGCUGUUCAGUCUCUAAGACCCCUUCAUUACCCAUCCCGCAAAGACAAAUUACCCUGGAAAUGCUGAAAGGAGUGAGCCUCUAAAAAGGCUCCAUCUGCUCCAUGGAGAAAGGGCUACUUCUGCUCACAACACAGGUGGAGGUGAAGGGCUAUGCAGAAAGUCCAAGAGUUCGCCUCAAGAGAAAAAUGGCAUUGAAAUCAUCAAGCAAGCCCAGGAAAGUCUGAAUGCCCCAAGAGGUGAAAAUCCUAAAAGCAAAAUAGAGCCAUUAUGUCUCAAGCCGAGGGAAAGCUUGAGAGAUUCUGGUGCCUGAAACAAAUAACAGGAAAACUAUGUCA
Molecule: long non-coding RNA, 5933 nt
Filed under: Homo sapiens (human)
Lineage: Eukaryota; Metazoa; Chordata; Mammalia; Primates; Hominidae
Description: non-protein coding lnc-RP9-2:3
Source: RNAcentral